Molecule: ribosomal RNA, 301 nt
Filed under: uncultured bacterium
Lineage: Bacteria
Description: partial 16S ribosomal RNA
Rfam family: Bacterial small subunit ribosomal RNA
Source: RNAcentral
CAGCCGCCGCGGGAAUACGUAGGUCCCGAGCGUUGUCCGGAUUUAUUGGGCGUAAAGCGAGCGCAGGCGGUUAGAUAAGUCUGAAGUUAAAGGCUGUGGCUUAACCAUAGUACGCUUUGGAAACUGUUUAACUUGAGUGCAAGAGGGGAGAGUGGAAUUCCAUGUGUAGCGGUGAAAUGCGUAGAUAUAUGGAGGAACACCGGUGGCGAAAGCGGCUCUCUGGCUUGUAACUGACGCUGAGGCUCGAAAGCGCGGGGAGCAAACAGGAUUAGAUACCCGCGUAGUCCCUGUCUCUUAUACA